This 871-nucleotide ribosomal RNA is filed under the name Bacteroides sp. HGBC25. RNAcentral's name for it is "bacterial SSU rRNA". It matches the Rfam family "Bacterial small subunit ribosomal RNA", at positions 60 to 923 of the family's 1533-position model. The record is from RNAcentral. Lineage: Bacteria; Pseudomonadati; Bacteroidota; Bacteroidia; Bacteroidales; Bacteroidaceae.
AGUCGAGGGGCAGCAUGGUCUUAGCUUGCUAAGGCCGAUGGCGACCGGCGCACGGGUGAGUAACACGUAUCCAACCUGCCGUCUACUCUUGGACAGCCUUCUGAAAGGAAGAUUAAUACAAGAUGGCAUCAUGAGUCCGCAUGUUCACAUGAUUAAAGGUAUUCCGGUAGACGAUGGGGAUGCGUUCCAUUAGAUAGUAGGCGGGGUAACGGCCCACCUAGUCUUCGAUGGAUAGGGGUUCUGAGAGGAAGGUCCCCCACAUUGGAACUGAGACACGGUCCAAACUCCUACGGGAGGCAGCAGUGAGGAAUAUUGGUCAAUGGGCGAGAGCCUGAACCAGCCAAGUAGCGUGAAGGAUGACUGCCCUAUGGGUUGUAAACUUCUUUUAUAAAGGAAUAAAGUCGGGUAUGGAUACCCGUUUGCAUGUACUUUAUGAAUAAGGAUCGGCUAACUCCGUGCCAGCAGCCGCGGUAAUACGGAGGAUCCGAGCGUUAUCCGGAUUUAUUGGGUUUAAAGGGAGCGUAGAUGGAUGUUUAAGUCAGUUGUGAAAGUUUGCGGCUCAACCGUAAAAUUGCAGUUGAUACUGGAUAUCUUGAGUGCAGUUGAGGCAGGCGGAAUUCGUGGUGUAGCGGUGAAAUGCUUAGAUAUCACGAAGAACUCCGAUUGCGAAGGCAGCCUGCUAAGCUGCAACUGACAUUGAGGCUCGAAAGUGUGGGUAUCAAACAGGAUUAGAUACCCUGGUAGUCCACACGGUAAACGAUGAAUACUCGCUGUUUGCGAUAUACUGCAAGCGGCCAAGCGAAAGCGUUAAGUAUUCCACCUGGGGAGUACGCCGGCAACGGUGAAACUUCAAGGAAUUGACGGGGGCCCG